AUUGAACGCUGGCGGCAUGCUUUACACAUGCAAGUCGAACGGUAACAGGGUGCUUGCACCGCUGACGAGUGGCGAACGGGUGAGUAAUGCGUCGGAACGCACCGAGUAAUGGGGGAUAACGCAGCGAAAGCUGUGCUAAUACCGCAUACGCUCUGAGGAGGAAAGCGGGGGACCUUCGGGCCUCGCGUUAUUCGAGCGGCCGACGUCUGAUUAGCUAGUAGGUGAGGUAAGAGCUCACCUAGGCGACGAUCAGUAGCGGGUCUGAGAGGAUGAUCCGCCACACUGGGACUGAGACACGGCCCAGACUCCUACGGGGGGCAGCAGUGGGGAAUUUUGGACAAUGGGCGCAAGCCCGAUCCAGCCAUGCCGCGUGUCUGAAGAAGGCCUUCGGGUUGUAAAGGACUUUUGUCAGGGAGGAAAUCCUUAGCGCUAAUACCGUUGAGGGAUGACAGUACCUGAAGAAUAAGCACCGGCUAACUACGUGCCAGCCGCCGACGUAA
This 500-nucleotide ribosomal RNA is filed under the name uncultured bacterium. RNAcentral's name for it is "partial 16S ribosomal RNA". It matches the Rfam family "Bacterial small subunit ribosomal RNA", at positions 30 to 523 of the family's 1533-position model. The record is from RNAcentral.